This is a long non-coding RNA of Arvicola amphibius (Eurasian water vole), 1331 nucleotides long. RefSeq lists it as uncharacterized. The transcript has 3 exons. NCBI's taxonomy places the organism in Eukaryota, Metazoa, Chordata, Mammalia, Rodentia, Cricetidae. The record is from RefSeq and is a predicted model, not a curated record.
GAGCGAAAGGUGAGCUGGAGGUCAGUGAACUUCAUAUGAAAAAAAUGUUCAUGCUCACUGUCAGAAAAGUGCGAAUCAAGGACACACCAAGAUUCCACUUCACUCCAGCCAGAAAACAACUGUUCCGAGCCUGUCUCUCUGCUGGGACACACACAAGUGCGGUGUCUCUCCCAGGAUCCCCACAUCCCAGGCUUCUGAGCACAGCCACAGAGCAUCGAGCCACAGAGGGCAUGUGUUCUUCUCCUGAACUGGCAACGCAGCAAAGGGUCCUUGGUGUGAGCAAGGAUAUAUAACUCUUGCUACUAAAAUCAAGGAAGUUCUGAGCCUGCUAAGGUGAGUCACCUUACCUUUGGGAAGACUAAGUAUUGAGUCACACACACACACACACACACACACACACACACACACACACACAUGCAUGGACACACACACGCACGCACACAAGCAUAUACAUGAUAUAUCAGGAACAGAAGUAUGAAGGUAAUUGUUUCAACAAUGGAGGGGGUGAGAAGAAGGAGGAAGAGGAGAAAGAGAAGGGAAGCACGAUUCUUACCGUUGAUUUGAGCCUGUGCACUCUCUGAAGGACAGAGUCUUGGCCUUCUUGUGGAAGGAACCCAUGUCACUAUGUAACUAUGUCUGGUGGUAACUAUCCAGGCCUUUUAUGACCACAGAUACUCCAAGUUGUCACCAAGGUUAUUCCAGCCACAGUUAGAGGGAACACAUUUAAUUUGCUAGCCAGAGCCUACCUGAAGGUAUUGGGCUUGGAGGAUGAGCAUCAGUGACCUCUUGGAGCUGAGCAGAGGGUCCUGUUGUUACACUGGUUGGGCCACUGAAGACACAGCCUGGGACACAUGGUAUAUGAUGACUAUUCUCUGUCUAACAAGGGUACCCCAGGAGGACCCCUGGAGUGAGAACUUCAACAGGGCCAGUUAACCCUCUGGCUCUCCAUCAGCUAUUCUAGGAGGUCAACCAUCUAGUUGAUUGGUAAGCCAGGACAUUGCUUUAUAGACUUAGGAACACCAUUGCCAUAAAAACCAAACAUGAGCAAGAAGUGGCAUAGACUCAGGUGUUGAAGGACACAGAACUCAGAGAGUCUGGUAAGGCAACCAUGUCCCCACGACGCCUUUAUGGACUGGUCUUGCCCGCACAUGCAUAUCUCCAGCAGAGAAAGGACUUCCUGUCACCAAAAAGGAGGAAAACGCAGGAAACACCCUGUGGGUCUGCUAUACACUUCACAAUCAAUGGGGUACUCUGAGAUAACUGGAAAUGACUAGAAAUUCACCCCCUCCAAGUUCUGGAAGCAGGGAAGGCCAAAACGGAGGGAUUGGCGU